GACGAACGCUGGCGGCGUGCUUAACACAUGCAAGUCGAACGGAAAGGCCCUGCUUUUGUGGGGUGCUCGAGUGGCGAACGGGUGAGUAACACGUGAGUAACCUGCCCUUGACUUUGGGAUAACUUCAGGAAACUGGGGCUAAUACCGGAUAGGAGCUCCUGCUGCAUGGUGGGGGUUGGAAAGUUUCGGCGGUUGGGGAUGGACUCGCGGCUUAUCAGCUUGUUGGUGGGGUAGUGGCUUACCAAGGCUUUGACGGGUAGCCGGCCUGAGAGGGUGACCGGCCACAUUGGGACUGAGAUACGGCCCAGACUCCUACGGGAGGCAGCAGUGGGGAAUAUUGCACAAUGGGCGGAAGCCUGAUGCAGCAACGCCGCGUGCGGGAUGACGGCCUUCGGGUUGUAAACCGCUUUCGCCUGUGACGAGGCGUGAGUGACGGUAAUGUGUAAAGAAGCACCGGCUAACUACGUG
This 468-nucleotide ribosomal RNA is filed under the name uncultured bacterium. RNAcentral's name for it is "partial 16S ribosomal RNA". It matches the Rfam family "Bacterial small subunit ribosomal RNA", at positions 28 to 507 of the family's 1533-position model. The record is from RNAcentral.